AUGUUGUUCUUUUACUUUACAGUCCUGGCACUUCUUACAGAUAAUGUUCUUACAAAUACAAUAACAUCUCAUUCUACUAAACAGCAAGUUUUAGAAGAAGGAAAGGUUACUAUUUCUUGCACCUACAGUGGAGGCAAUAUUAACAGUUUUCAGUGGUACAGACAGUAUCCCAACACUGCACCUGAAUUUCUCUUGCAAGCUUUUGAAAGUUCGGGACCGCAGCAGAAGGACCGUUAUGUUGCUGAAGUUCAAAAGAAUGAAAAACAACUAGAUCUGAAGAUCUCCAAAACUGAGAUAACAGAUGCUGCAGUAUACUACUGUGCCCUGCAGCCCACAGUAACAGGAAACACUUCAACACUGUACAAAAACCUGAGAUAUCACAUUUGACUAUAGUUUCUCUGAUUUUUUUUUUCUACUGCACAGAAUGAUGGAUAUUAAUGGUGAUUAAUUCAUAUUCAUGGUCAUUAACACUGAUAAAAGUGUGAUAUAAAAAAUUAAUUUGAGCA
Onychostoma macrolepis is the source of this 506-nucleotide non-coding RNA. The record is from the annotation of a RefSeq genome assembly. NCBI's taxonomy places the organism in Eukaryota, Metazoa, Chordata, Actinopteri, Cypriniformes, Cyprinidae.